RNAcentral lists this ribosomal RNA (500 nucleotides) under uncultured bacterium. RNAcentral describes it as "partial 16S ribosomal RNA". It matches the Rfam family "Bacterial small subunit ribosomal RNA", at positions 30 to 523 of the family's 1533-position model. The record is from RNAcentral.
AUUGAACGCUGGCGGAAUGCUUUACACAUGCAAGUCGAACGGCAGCACGGACUUCGGUCUGGUGGCGAGUGGCGAACGGGUGAGUAAUACAUCGGAACGUGCCCAGUCGUGGGGGAUAACGUAGCGAAAGCUACGCUAAUACCGCAUACGAUCUAAGGAUGAAAGCGGGGGAUCGCAAGACCUCGCGCGAUUGGAGCGGCCGAGGGCAGAUUAGGUAGUUGGUGGGGUAAAGGCUCACCAAGCCGACAAUCUGUAGCUGGUCUGAGAGGACGAACCGCCACACUGGGACUGAGACACGGCCCAGACUCCUACGGGAGGCAGCAGUGGGGAAUUUUGGACAAUGGGCGCAAGCCUGAUCCAGCCAUUCGGCGUGCAGGAUGAAGGCCCUCGGGUUGUAAACUGCUUUUGUACGGAACGAAAAGGCUCUGGUUAAUACCCGGGGCUCAUGACGGUACCGUAAGAAUAAGCACCGGCUAACUACGUGCCAGCAGCCGCCGUAA